Long non-coding RNA from Oncorhynchus nerka (sockeye salmon), 1006 nucleotides. RefSeq lists it as uncharacterized. The transcript has 3 exons. The record is from RefSeq and is a predicted model, not a curated record. NCBI's taxonomy places the organism in Eukaryota, Metazoa, Chordata, Actinopteri, Salmoniformes, Salmonidae.
AGUGCCUGGCAGCACUGUGUUCCUGUUAGAGCCACCAGCACAAGCACCAGACGAUGCUGAUCCAGGUGAAGGCCCCAGUGCAGCAGCAACAGCACAUGAUGGAGACGAUGAUGAGGAGGAGACCAUCUCUCUGGAUUCCAGAAGGCAUGAGGACCCAGAUGCUAUACAGUGGGAAAACCAGCCUGGCAACAUAGUGCGUAUUAAUAAAAGGACACCACAUCCUGCCAAAUUCCAGCUGCGCUAAUUGUAUUGUGUUCACAGAGCUCACAAGCUAUCAGAAAGUUGUAUGGCAACCACCUCCGGCGCCAAAUAGAACUGGCAGACAUAGACAUUCAGUACAAGAAGAAAAAGAUGGAAAAUCUUGCACUGGAGUCCGAAAUAAAAAGAGGACAAUUAGGAAACUGGACCUUGAAAUAAAAAAACUUGAGAGGGAGGUGAGAUAUGCCUUCAAUGUACACUGUAUGCUAACUGUAACACAAAUGUAUUAAUCAUUAUUUUUCUUUCCUCGCCCAGCUCCAAGAAGAUGACACAGCUCAAAAUAAAAAUUAGGUAUAUUCUCGUAAAGUCAAGUGAGCCAUGACAUAUGAGCUCUUAUUGUGAGCACACAGGACGGUGGCAUCUUUCUAAGGUUUUUUUAUUUUCCCAGCAAUCAGUACAACCAAGUCAUCGUUAUAAGGCAUCGCCCUCUUUUGCCCACCCCCCCAGCACCAGGUGUGGCCACUAGCCUAUAUGAAGGCCCAAAAUUGUGUGUUCCUUUCUGCUCUGACAAUGGCAUGCCCAUUCGUGCGAGAUGUGGUGGAUGAAGAAGCACUUGUGCUGAGGAGAGCCUUCAGGCGAGAAAGGGUCUUCAGGGACCGGUUGGACCCACUGGCCUUCCCUGAUGACCAUCUAUAUGAAAGAUACAGGUUUUCUGCAGAUGGCAUCAGGUAUCUAUGCAGACUACUGGGUCCCAGGAUUAAGCACCGCACUGCACGGAGCCAUGCACUGAGUGUGGAGCAAAUGGUUU